Molecule: long non-coding RNA, 203 nt
Filed under: Mytilus galloprovincialis (Mediterranean mussel)
Lineage: Eukaryota; Metazoa; Mollusca; Bivalvia; Mytilida; Mytilidae
Source: RNAcentral
AAUUGAAUAAAUGACAAAGAAUAGCAAAGGUGGGGAGAAAAAUCUGCCACAAAUCCACUCAUAGGCUGUAAGAGUGGAUCCAAAAUCCACUCUAAGGCUGAAAGAGUGGAUCCCCCACCCGAGGACUCUGGCGACGUGAAUACAAUUUAUAUAUGACUUGAAAAAAUUUACAAGCAUGACAUUCACAUACAUGUACACCAAAC